UCCCGGGUCGUCUAACGGCAGGACAGGAGACUUUGGAUCUCCGAAUCGGGGUUCGAAUCCCUGCCCGGGAA
RNAcentral lists this transfer RNA (71 nucleotides) under Parcubacteria group bacterium RIFCSPHIGHO2_01_FULL_56_18. RNAcentral's name for it is "tRNA-Gln". It matches the Rfam family "tRNA". From Rfam's summary of the family: Transfer RNA (tRNA) molecules are approximately 80 nucleotides in length. Their secondary structure includes four short double-helical elements and three loops (D, anti-codon, and T loops). Further hydrogen bonds mediate the characteristic L-shaped molecular structure. tRNAs have two regions of fundamental functional importance: the anti-codon, which is responsible for specific mRNA codon recognition, and the 3' end, to which the tRNAs corresponding amino acid is attached (by aminoacyl-tRNA synthetases). tRNAs cope with the degeneracy of the genetic code in two manners: having more than one tRNA (with a specific anti-codon) for a particular amino acid; and 'wobble' base-pairing, i.e. permitting non-standard base-pairing at the 3rd anti-codon position. RNAcentral also lists the same sequence under 2 other names. The record is from RNAcentral.